GGUAUUGAUUGGUGCUUGCAUCAUGAUUUACAUUUGAGUGAGUGGCGAACUGGUGAGUAACACGUGGGAAACCUGCCCAGAAGCGGGGGAUAACACCUGGAAACAGAUGCUAAUACCGCAUAACAACUUGGACCGCAUGGUCCGAGCUUGAAAGAUGGCUUCGGCUAUCACUUUUGGAUGGUCCCGCGGCGUAUUAGCUAGAUGGUGGGGUAACGGCUCACCAUGGCAAUGAUACGUAGCCGACCUGAGAGGGUAAUCGGCCACAUUGGGACUGAGACACGGCCCAAACUCCUACGGGAGGCAGCAGUAGGGAAUCUUCCACAAUGGACGAAAGUCUGAUGGAGCAACGCCGCGUGAGUGAAGAAGGGUUUCGGCUCGUAAAACUCUGUUGUUAAAGAAGAACAUAUCUGAGAGUAACUGUUCAGGUAUUGACGGUAUUUAACCAGAAAGCCACGGCUAACUACGUGCCAGCAGCCGCGGUAAUACGUAGGUGGCAAGCGUUGUCCGGAUUUAUUGGGCGUAAAGCGAGCGCAGGCGGUUUUUUAAGUCUGAUGUGAAAGCCUUCGGCUCAACCGAAGAAGUGCAUCGGAAACUGGGAAACUUGAGUGCAGAAGAGGACAGUGGAACUCCAUGUGUAGCGGUGAAAUGCGUAGAUAUAUGGAAGAACACCAGUGGCGAAGGCGGCUGUCUGGUCUGUAACUGACGCUGAGGCUCGAAAGUAUGGGUAGCAAACAGGAUUAGAUACCCUGGUAGUCCAUACCGUAAACGAUGAAUGCUAAGUGUUGGAGGGUUUCCGCCCUUCAGUGCUGCAGCUAACGCAUUAAGCAUUCCGCCUGGGGAGUACGGCCGCAAGGCUGAAACUCAAAGGAAUUGACGGGGGCCCGCACAAGCGGUGGAGCAUGUGGUUUAAUUCGAAGCUACGCGAAGAACCUUACCAGGUCUUGACAUACUAUGCAAAUCUAAGAGAUUAGACGUUCCCUUCGGGGACAUGGAUACAGGUGGUGCAUGGUUGUCGUCAGCUCGUGUCGUGAGAUGUUGGGUUAAGUCCCGCAACGAGCGCAACCCUUAUUAUCAGUUGCCAGCAUUAAGUUGGGCACUCUGGUGAGACUGCCGGUGACAAACCGGAGGAAGGUGGGGAUGACGUCAAAUCAUCAUGCCCCUUAUGACCUGGGCUACACACGUGCUACAAUGGAUGGUACAACGAGUUGCGAACUCGCGAGAGUAAGCUAAUCUCUUAAAGCCAUUCUCAGUUCGGAUUGUAGGCUGCAACUCGCCUACAUGAAGUCGGAAUCGCUAGUAAUCGCGGAUCAGCAUGCCGCGGUGAAUACGUUCCCGGGCCUUGUACACACCGCCCGUCACACCAUGAGAGUUUGUAACACCCAAAGUCGGUGGG
RNAcentral lists this ribosomal RNA (1393 nucleotides) under Lactiplantibacillus plantarum. Its description in RNAcentral is "bacterial SSU rRNA". It matches the Rfam family "Bacterial small subunit ribosomal RNA", at positions 68 to 1434 of the family's 1533-position model. The record is from RNAcentral. Lineage: Bacteria; Bacillati; Bacillota; Bacilli; Lactobacillales; Lactobacillaceae.